RNAcentral lists this ribosomal RNA (514 nucleotides) under Desmiphora sp. IBE JGZ-3828. Its description in RNAcentral is "partial large subunit ribosomal RNA". It matches the Rfam family "Bacterial large subunit ribosomal RNA", at positions 1825 to 2603 of the family's 2925-position model. Lineage: Eukaryota; Metazoa; Arthropoda; Insecta; Coleoptera; Cerambycidae. The record is from RNAcentral.
GUCUUUUUGAAAAUAAUUUAAAGUCUAAUCUGCCCACUGAGGAAUUAAAUGGCCGCGGUAAUUUGACCGUGCUAAGGUAGCAUAAUCAUUAGUUUUUUAAUUAAAAGCUGGAAUGAAUGAUUGAAUAAGAAAAUAACUGUCUCUGUUUAAAUAAAAAUGAAUUUUAUUUUUAAGUAAAAAAGCUUAAAUGUUAUUAAAAGACGAGAAGACCCUAUAGAGUUUAAUAUAUAAAUUAGAUUUAAAGGUUUAGUAUUUUCUGAAUAAGUAAAGUUUAUAUAUUUGAUUGGGGCGAUAAAAAAAUUUGAUAAACUUUUUUAUUUAAAAACAUUUAUUAAUGAAAAAUUGAUCCAUUUUUUAUGAUUAAAAGAUUAAAUUACCUUAGGGAUAACAGCGUAAUUUUUUUUUAGAGUUCAAAUCAAAAAAAAAGAUUGCGACCUCGAUGUUGGAUUAAAAUUAAUUUUUGGUGUAGAAGCUAAAAAUUUUAGGUCUGUUCGACCUUUAAAAUUUUACAUGA